UACGGGGGGGGCAAGCGUUGUUCGGAAUUACUGGGCGUAAAGGGCUCGUAGGCGGCCAACUAAGUCAGACGUGAAAUCCCUCGGCUUAACCGGGGAACUGCGUCUGAUACUGGAUGGCUUGAGUUCGGGAGAGGGAUGCGGAAUUCCAGGUGUAGCGGUGAAAUGCGUAGAUAUCUGGAGGAACACCGGUGGCGAAGGCGGCAUCCUGGACCGGCAUUGACGCUGAGGAGCGAAAGCCAGGGGAGCAAACGGG
RNAcentral lists this ribosomal RNA (253 nucleotides) under uncultured bacterium. RNAcentral describes it as "partial 16S ribosomal RNA". It matches the Rfam family "Bacterial small subunit ribosomal RNA", at positions 524 to 776 of the family's 1533-position model. The record is from RNAcentral.